UAUCUAGUCUGAAUAUUUUUAACUACUCAAUUUGUCCUACUGUGACCAUGAACUGAUUGCUUCCUGUCUUUAGAUGCAUAAAAACAUUAUAAAAGAGGCUUACGUAAGCUUUGAAUUGCAUGGGAUAAUUCAUCUAAAAAAGAGAACAAUCUUUGAUACAGGAUCUGCAUUGGUCCCUGAUCACUCUUCCUGCUUUUCUCCUGUUUUCUAGAGUUGGUCUACACUUUUGAAAAUUCCAGCUGAGGUCUUACUGUUGCUGAAUAAGGCACAUUUGUCCUCUAAAGUACAUUAGAUGAAGAACAAAGACUGAAUAGCCAUUCAUCAGAGGCUCCAUAUCAAAAAAAGUUCAAUUGACCUAAAAAAUUCAGAAGCCUUCUAAGGUAUUUUGUACAUUAAGGCUUGUGACCAUUUUGGACAGGGGAGUGCAGAAUGCAGCUGGUGCAUCCCUGACACCAUGUGGUGCUCAGAACCACAGGAUGAUGGUGAUGGCAGUGGAACGAAGUCAGUGUGCCUGGAAACUUCACCACCACUAAAACUCAAGUGAACAGGAAGCUCUGACAUCUAAACUAGGGAAAAAUACCAAAAAGGACAGGACCCCAAAAAGUAAAGACUUAUUCAGCUACCUAUAGUUUUAUAUUACAAUGCAAAAGUGUGAUGGGGAAAAAAUACUUAUUUUUUCAUGCUAACCAAUUUUAUAUUUAGGAAAAAAAGUCAGACAAGAAAUCUAUUUCUCUUCCCCUUCUCAGACCGUUUUGAUAACAUUUAGCUCAUGUGAUUAGAUGAUAUGGAAUCACUUGUGACUAUUGGAGAGAGAAGGCUAUGGGGGAGCAUAACAAAGUUAGAUGCCUAGGUGCCUAGGAGGCAGAAUGACAGAUGAGUCUGUGUAUUGUCAGUGCGAGUAAAUGCACAGUAAAAGGGAUAAUUGUAACUGCAAACAUACCUUGAGGGGAUGUUUUAAAUUAACUGUACCUUUAAGGAAAAAGAAUCUGUGCAGAAAUCCAUGAAAUUACUUGCCUAAAACAUAGCUGUGCACUAGGAAAGUAAAAUAAUAAAAUAAGGAUGGAAGAAGGAGAGAUAAUAAGGAUCCCUGUGAUCAUGUUAACCCUUAUAAAAUGGAGAUUAGAAUGAAAUAUUAAAUAAGUAUUUUAGCUAUAAAACUUUAUUAUUAUCCUUUAUAUCUGACAUUGAUUAUCCUAUUUAGAAAGAGAAUAUAUGUAUAGCACAGAAACAUGGGUUUUAUUUAGGCUUAAAUUUACAUUAAUAGUUUAUAUGAAUUAAGCAGAACCUUUUAUAGCUAAACAAUCAUCAUGUUUAAAAUAGACAGAUUAUACUGAUUAGUUAGUACUUACUUAUUUGCAGAGAGAAAUGUGGUACAUGGGGAAUUAUAAUGAGCGAGGACAGAAUAAAGGGAAGUUAUAGCAGAGAAAAUUGUUCCAUUUUUACACUCUUUCUAUAGUGUCACUGGAGAACCUGAAUGGAUAAGAAUUGAUGGUUAUGUAGCAGAUAAUCUUGAGUGCCAUCACGUGGCACGUACAGGACAAACAGGGGAUCAGACUCAGUUAGCAUUUAUGAAAAGCAGGUCCUGCUUGACCGACCUGAUCUCCCUCUAUGACAGGGUGACCCCCUUAGCAUGUGAGGAAAAGGCUGUGGGUGUUUGCCUGGAGUUCAGUAAAGCCUGUGACACCAUUUUCCACAGCAUUGUCCUGGACAAAACUGAUUCUGAAGAUGAUGCUAGACUUGAUAUUCUGCAAUGAAAAGAAUUUGUGACUACUUUAUAUUUUUUUCAGAUUUUACUUUGCUCAAAAAAAGUCUCACAGUGGUUAGGAAAAUCUUUAAGGUAAUACUGGAAUUUUAAUGAAUAUUCUUGGAGCCACAACUGUCAAUGAAAUCCAACAUUUGAAUAUCAAUUUAAUUUUGAUCAAGCAUUAUAUCCUAAGGCUACAAUCUAUUUCAUAACUCUGAAGUGCUUAUGUCAGCAUGAUCACUGUCUGCACUAGGCACAAUUUCAAAUCAAUGCUAUUCUUUUUUUUUCUUGAAAAGGAGAGGCCUUUGUUAAUCUUAUAUCACAUUGAAAAUAAAAUAAUCUCCCUAUGGAGCUCCAUCUAUCAUAAAAGGAAAAUAAAAUAGGAAGCUCUUAGAAUAUGGCAUCAAUUUCUCUCCUGGCAUAUUCAUAAGGCAAAUUGUUACAAGUAUGAAAGACAAAAAUGCUUGGAUUCCGUCCUACACUCAACAAGUAUCUAGACAAUUUAUGCAAAUACAUCAUUUCAAUUCAGACUAAAGAGCUCAUCUUGAAAGAGUUCAAUAUAAUCAGUGAACUGUCACAAUUUUUGUAGGACCUGAUUCUGAAAUUAGCAAAGUACUGAAGACCUAAAGCUUAGGUAGAGUUCUGGCAUUCUGUAUAAAUUGCAAGGGUUAGCAUGCUGGAGUGAAAGAGAUGCACUUACUAGUAAUAAUAUUGACAUCUUUCUACUCCAAGCCAUUUCUGAAGUAAGCUGAACAAAACCACAUGAUAUUAAAAGAAUUAUUUAUGUUGUUUCCCAAGUCCUAAAAUAGAAAAUUGAUAUCCGUAUUUGAAUUCAACCUGUAUUGGAAUACUUUGUUAGAUUUAGUGAACAAACAUAGAGGAUUUCUCUUGAUGUGGGUUUGGACCCUCCAUGAAUACUGAGGGAAUCCCAAUCUGACCCUCAACUUUUGAUCAGCUACAGGAAGUAUGAACACCUUUGUAAACUCUUUCUUUCAAUUUUGUAUCAACAGCAUGAAACCAUAAAAACAUAGAGAAGGCCACUCAUAAUUAGCAGAAGCAAUCAUUCAUCUCAGAACCUUAUCUCUGACAGUGGACAAAUAAGAAUUGCUAGAGAAGAAUGAAAGAAUAAGAAAUUUUUCAUUACUUUGUCUCCUAGCACUGAAAUAAAAAUAUUCCAAGUAAGAGGCUUAGAUAGUGUCUGUGUACUUUAUAGACUUCUCUUCAACAGUUUCAGCAUCCUGCUGCAAUGAAUUCCUUCAUGUUACCUACACUCUGUUAAAAAAACUUCCUUAUGCCUUCCAAAGGGAAAAACUGAAAAUUGGUAAUAUAUUUAUACACUGAUAAGGUCCAUAGUUUCUCUAAUUAAGGGAAUCAAUCUUGAGAUCUGUUGGCAAGGGGGAGGCAGGGAGUGGAGCAAAAGAAAGGGGCAGGGAAGUGCAGCUGUUCCCCCUGGUGAUGCUUAUUGUUUUAUUCAUCACUCAUGUGGAAAGCUGUUCUGCAAGGGAGAGGAUGGAAAAAAAGAAGACUUGCUAUAGUUACUUUCCAUUCUUUUACUGUAUGGAGGGCAGAUCUCUUAUUCUGAUCUUAUAAUAUUAAAGGGAAAAAAUAAGUCUUGUUUUUGUUAACUGUACUCGGGGAAAAUCCUUUGUUCCUUGUUCUCAGGGAAAAUCCUUUUUAGCAUUCCAUUGUGGAUGAAAGCUUGAGCUGUGCCAUGUAUGUAUGUAUGUAUGUUGGAUGCCUUCAAAGGGUUCCUGUUAUGACAUCCUAGGUUUCAAUAAGCAGACCUCAGAAGUGCUCAGCCUGAGACAUGAUAGUGUUGUACAUAGCUUGCUGUGACUUGGCUGACCUGUCAUGAAGAACAGGGAUAGACAGAUUUCUGUGAUACUUGAGGAACAGGGAAGCACUUUUACUAUAAUGUCAACCUUCAUUUCUCUGAACCAGGUGGCAAGUUUGGCCACCUCUAAAACCAAUUAAUUUAGUCUUAUAUUAAGACUAAGGGCACAGAGUAUAGGACCUUGGGACCUUCAUAAGGCUUAACAAAGGUAAAUGUGAAGUCAUAUAGUAGGAUGGAAUAAUCCUGAGCAGCAAUCCAGGCUGGGCAGUGUCUGCCUGAGCAACAGCUCUGCAGUUCCUGGGGCUCUGGGGCACAGCAAGCUGCACAGGAGCCACUCUAGGGCUGGCAGCAGCAAGGGCCUUCACCAUCCGGUGCUUCAGUAGCAAGGGCAUAAUCAGGAGAGGGAGGGAUGUGAUGAUCCCCUUCCACCUGGCACUUCUUGGAACACCACCCACAGGUUUGGUCCCCUCCAGCUGAAUAUAUACAUGGAACAACUGGAGAGAGUCCAGUGGAGGGCCACUGAGGUGGAACCUAAUUCCAAUACCUACAAGGUAGUGAUAGAGAAGAUGGAGAUACUCUCUUCACCACGGUACAUGAUAACAGGACAAGAGGCAACAGGGAAAAUCACGUCUGGAUAUAAGAAAAUUUUUUUCCCUGUGAGAAAAAUUGAACAGUGAAGCAGACCAAAACAAGAAGUGAUGAAAUCUGGGAGAAUUGAGACCUGGCUUAGCAGAGCUCUUGAAAAUCUAAAUAAAGCCCAGACUUCAGCAGAAGUUGGAACCAGAUGAUCUCCAGAUGUCCCUUCUGGUCUAGACUUCUGAGAUUCUGACAAUAGUUAGUUUCUGGUGGCCUUAUUUAUCUCAUUGAUACUCUGUAACACAGCCCCUACAUGGAAGAAAUCAAUGUGCAAAUUUUGAACGUUAUUUCUGUGUAUGGUCUUGUUUCACAAUUGUGAAACUAUGUGAGAAAAAUUUAGUUUUGAGGUGAAGCAAUAGGGAGUCAGAAUAUAAAUCAUUAAGUGAGCCCCAGUGUUUUAAAUGGAACUCAGAUUAUUACCUGCAGUACACAGUGAUGUUCAAAGCAUGUCUUUGCAAGGGAAUUCUGUAGUUGUUUGUAUUUUGUAUUUUGAAGUGCAUUACUUUUGCUUCAUCCAAAACAUAAAAGUGUAGAACAUGAGUCUGACUGCACAUGGCUCAUUCUUGGCUACUCUGCUUUACUUCUGUUUAUUCUUCACAUACUUCCUCUUCAUCAUCUCUGUGUUGUCUUUGAUCAUUUACCGACUUCAUUGUACAGCUCCAAGAAGUCAUAAAUGAUAUGGAAAAAAAACCAGAAUAAACACGGCGAUUUUGCACAACACAGAAUAAGGAAAAAUAAUGAAAAAAUUAAAUAACAGACUUAAACCAAAGUAUCAAUAAAGGGAGAAUUAUUCACAUGCAGUUUUAAAAUGGGAAGCUCCUGGAUAUGGGCUUGUGGAGAUCAAAAAUGGAAAUUCUCCUCUAUGAAACGUACAAACCCCUUUCUGUGUAUGCAUGACUAUUAAACAAGUAAUACAUUGUUAUAAAAAGUAAAAAAGUUUCUUACACUAGUAAAGGUAAUUCAUUCAAAGUAAAAAUACCAUGUUGCUUAGGUGAUCUGCUAAUUGUCUCAAAUAAUCAAUUAUUGAAAAGCAAAUAUUAAAUUUUCAGCUGGGAAACAAAUCCCUGGCCUAAAAUACUUGCUCAAAUAUUUUGCUGUGGAAUGAGAACAAUGACAAAACUUGGCAGGGGGGAGGCAGCAAAGCAAAGUGCACUUUGGUAAAAGUCUCUAACUUGUGUAAUUUGCUUCCUUGCAUGUUCCAGUGAGUGCUGUGUGGCUGUGAGGCACUAUUGCAAUAACUGUAAUAUUUCUUUCCUUGUGAGGCUAUCCUGUCCUUUUUAUCUCACAAUAUUCCAUGCAGAAUUUGGAUAUAGAGGGCACAUGGAAAAAUGUGGAGGUACUAUCAGGAAUUAAAUAUAUUGGGGUGGGUUCAGGCACUGUGAGAAGUAAAGCAACAAAAAUUUUAGGUUUGAUUUCUGGUUUUGUUGCAAUCAAAGGAAGGAACUGAGGUGAGGUAUGAAACCUGAAGUACAGUCUAGGAGUUGCUUAAGCAAAUUUUUGUUUUGUUCUUUAAAGUGCUCUCGUGAGAUAUUCCUUGUGGAGGAAAGCAAUCAGACUUAGGACUCCUUACGCCAGUUUAUAUAAAGUACAAACAGCUAUCUGCAGUGUUAAGCAUUCACUAACACAGUUUUAAUUUAUAUUUCUGUCUAAGUUACUUAGUAUACUGUUUGAAAACCAGGGUGGGUUUUGAGUGGUUUGUUUUGUUUGGUUUGGUUUUAUUUCAUUUGAUUUGGCUUGUUUCUGUCUUUUAAUACUCAACUUCUUGUGGCUUCUGUUUGUGAAUUAAUUCUGUUUAUCAUCAAGUCUUCAAGUGGACUACAGAUGCUAAUGCUUGCCUUGGUGAUUGAUUGUUUGAUUGAUUUAUUGCCUAACAAUACCUUUGUUUGGGUAGAAUAGAUAUGAACUUUGCACUUUAUUUUAUUUUAGUACAUUUAUGUACUUUCUGCCAUAGGUAGGGAUAACUUAAUAUUUGUAUAUAGCAAUCGAAUUAAGAAGAAGGCGAUAUAGAUCCCCUUCCCUGUGUGUCAUUGAUUCAAAUUCAGUUCACGUGGGUAGUGUUAAAUUGCCAACUGUGGAAUAAGCAGACACUUUCAAUCAGAACAGUUUUAAUGAAAAAUUUAGCACCACUUCUUGGCUCAGCAGACUGAGGCUUGAAUUUGAGUUACAGUGAAUUUACAUUUCCAUCAGUGAGUUUGUCCCCUGGUACCAAGAUCGCAUUACUAUUUUAUGGUAACACAAUUUCCGACUCUUGGGGUAUUAAUAACCCUGAAAUUCACUUUAAUGUAUUUUCAGAUAAAAAUUCAUUGCUAAGAUGCCUCAUGCCUUUGAGCCUGUCACCUGCAAAAUGUUUGCUGGAUUAUUGCUGUAGUUUAGUAAACUGUUACAGUUGAACAGGUGAAAAAAAGUCAUAAGAAAUCACACACUUUUAAGAGGGCUUCUUAGCACUACAGAUUACUUGCAGGGCCUUCUAGGUACAUGACAUGUUUCAUAUUUAUUGCUUAUCACCUUAAAAAAUGCUAAAAAUGGUCUGGCUAGCAAGAGGACAUGCCUUAAUUGUGAAGUGCUGUACCCAUGCACUGCUCACUUUAAUAAAUUCAUUACCUCAUUUGAUGUUUUCAAACUUCUUCUCUGUUCACUACUGUUAUCCUCACCAUUCCAACAGUUGCUGAAAAAUUUAGCCUGUUUAUUUUUAUUUGUCCUUUUUCCAUGCAAAUAGCUAUCAGUAUGAUGUUUGGGGAGGGGGAUGUGUCUAACCAUUAGCACAAACAUACCUACUACAUUCUGAGAUGUAUGGAGUUGGAAUUGAGUCUAAAUUUGUGCUCUCUGAAAGGUAUAUGACUUUUGUGUUUGAAAGCAUUAGUCAACAGGUUGGAUACAAUCUGUUCCAACCAUGUGAAAACCGGGCACUGCUAACAAAGACAAUCAAGUGUAGCCAAUAUCAGGGCAGGGUAUGUUAAUCUACCAUUGGAGCUUCUCUAGGUGCAGUUUUGGACCUGGAGAAAUAAUUCCAUUUGAUCGAGGUGCAUGAAUAAUCUUUUUUUCCCAGGUAGACCUUUCCCUGUGUUUCUCAAGGA
This is a long non-coding RNA of Pseudopipra pipra, 7288 nucleotides long. RefSeq lists it as uncharacterized. The transcript is spliced from 3 exons. The record is from RefSeq and is a predicted model, not a curated record. Lineage: Eukaryota; Metazoa; Chordata; Aves; Passeriformes; Pipridae.